CCUAUCUCUCUGUCUCUGAGUCUGUUUUAUCUUCUUGUGUUUUAUGCCUCUUACUUUCUCUCUCAGUGUCUCUGUCUCCUGCUCCCCAGUUCUCUUUUUGUACCUCUUCUCUCUCUGUCUCGUGUUGGCUUCCUGUCACCAAUUCCUCAUCUCCUCACUCACCCUCAGAUUAUCCAUCCAGCCCCAUGGCCUGCCCCUGGACUUCUCACCUUUGGUGGGUGCACAGUUGCCCACCCCUCCUGAAGCAAAGGCCCACCCUCGACCUCAGUUAUCACUCCCCCGACAGAGAUAAAGUUUAUCUCAAGGCUGGGGGAUAUGAAAGCUGCUUAUCAGCUGCCUCAGUAGAGAAAGUGCUGCCCUAACAGGAGGCACAGCAGCUGCACCUACAACUCUCCCUGGGCCCAGCCCCUCACCCCAGGCUAUUGAGAGACCUGAGUGAAAGAAACUGGAAUCUUCCCAGGCUUCUCACCCCAGGAGAAGGGAAAAGAUGCUCUUCUGUUGAAGACCGUUGGGUUAUUGUUAUAACACAGAGAAUGGUGGCAGAACAGAGAGCUCUCAAAUGCAAUGGAGACCUGAGCAGAAUUCAAAGUCAAGGCACAAAUUCCUGUGACCGGAAUCUUCUCAGAGGUACAUUAUGUUUCCUCUCUGUCAACUGGAGGAGAGAAGGGGGCUUGACUUUUUAGAGUUAUGAGUGUCUUAAAGAGAGAGGCCCAAAAAGUUGAACUAUCUGGGGGCAUUUGUCAGGUAACAGGAAAGAUUGGGGUGAUCUUGAGCCACUGGGGUUCAGUGGAACCAUUGGGAAUGGAUAGAUAUGAAUAUCAUGGCUUAUAUAACCAUGAAAAUAUUAUCUGUACUACUUUGGUAGCCUAGAGAGAAUCAAAACUGACUGGUUUUUUUAUAAACAAUUCCUAAGACAGCGAUGGGGUGGAGGGACAACAAUCUCUGCCCCUGGAGCUUCUGAAGAAAACCCUGGCCACUUCGGUUUUGCUUUUUUGUUUUAAACUCACUGUGCCUGGAUAAUCAUGGUUGGCGUGCCUUCCAAAAGUUUGAAUAUUUGUUCAUGUGAAUGUGUUUAGGGUCAUUUUAUACGUCAUAAAAGCAACUGAUUCUGGCUCUAUUUCUUAAAGCUAAACUCCAAGGAUUCAGAAAACACAAAGAAGGUCUGGAGAAAUGGCUCAGUGGUUAAGAGCACUGGCUGCUCUUCCAGAGGACCU
Molecule: small RNA, 1214 nt
Filed under: Rattus norvegicus (Norway rat)
Lineage: Eukaryota; Metazoa; Chordata; Mammalia; Rodentia; Muridae
Description: uncharacterized LOC102554502
Source: RNAcentral